UACGGGAGGCAGCAGUGGGGAAUAUUGCACAAUGGGCGAAAGCCUGAUGCAGCAACGCCGCGUGAGCGAUGAAGGCCUUUGGGUCGUAAAGCUCUGUCCUUGGGGAAGAAAAAAAUGACGGUACCCUUGGAGGAAGCCCCGGCUAACUACGUGCCAGCAGCCGCGGUAAUACGUAGGGGGCAAGCGUUAUCCGGAAUUAUUGGGCGUAAAGAGUGCGUAGGUGGUUUUGUAAGCGCGGGGUGAAAGGCUAUGGCUCAACCAUAGUAAGCCUUGCGAACUGUAAGACUUGAGUGCAGGAGAGGAAAGCGGAAUUCCUAGUGUAGCGGUGAAAUGCGUAGAUAUUAGGAGGAACACCAGUGGCGAAGGCGGCUUUCUGGACUGUAACUGACACUGAGGCACGAAAGCGUGGGGAGCAAACAGGAUUAAGAUACCCUGGUAGUCCACGCCGUAAACGAUGGGCACUAGGUGUGGGAGGUCUUGACCCCUUCCGUGCCGCAGCUAACGCAUUAAGUGCCCCGCCUGGGGAGUACGGCCGCAAGGUUGAAACUCAAAGGAAUUGACGG
RNAcentral lists this ribosomal RNA (563 nucleotides) under uncultured bacterium. RNAcentral describes it as "bacterial SSU rRNA". It matches the Rfam family "Bacterial small subunit ribosomal RNA", at positions 340 to 916 of the family's 1533-position model. The record is from RNAcentral.